This 483-nucleotide ribosomal RNA is filed under the name uncultured bacterium. RNAcentral describes it as "partial 16S ribosomal RNA". It matches the Rfam family "Bacterial small subunit ribosomal RNA", at positions 28 to 523 of the family's 1533-position model. The record is from RNAcentral.
GAUGAACGCUGGCGGCGUGCUUAACACAUGCAAGUCGAACGGUGAAGCCCAGCUUGCUGGGUGGAUCAGUGGCGAACGGGUGAGUAACACGUGAGCAACCUGCCCUGGACUCUGGGAUAAGCGCUGGAAACGGCGUCUAAUACUGGAUAUGAGACGUGGCCGCAUGGUCAACGUUUGGAAAGAUUUUUCGGUCUGGGAUGGGCUCGCGGCCUAUCAGCUGGUUGGUGAGGUAAUGGCUCACCAAGGCGUCGACGGGUAGCCGGCCUGAGAGGGUGAACGGCCACACUGGGACUGAGACACGGCCCAGACUCCUACGGGAGGCAGCAGUGGGGAAUAUUGCACAAUGGGCGGAAGCCUGAUGCAGCAACGCCGCGUGAGGGAUGACGGCCUUCGGGUUGUAAACCUCUUUUAGCAAGGAAGAAGCUUUUGUGACGGUACUUGCAGAAAAAGCGCCGGCUAACUACGUGCCAGCCGCCGCGGUAA